This 452-nucleotide ribosomal RNA is filed under the name uncultured Prevotellaceae bacterium. RNAcentral describes it as "bacterial SSU rRNA". It matches the Rfam family "Bacterial small subunit ribosomal RNA", at positions 341 to 792 of the family's 1533-position model. Lineage: Bacteria; Pseudomonadati; Bacteroidota; Bacteroidia; Bacteroidales; Prevotellaceae. The record is from RNAcentral.
ACGGAAGGCAGCAGUGAGGAAUAUUGGUCAAUGGGCGAGAGCCUGAACCAGCCAAGUAGCGUGAAGGAAGACUGCCCUAUGGGUUGUAAACUUCUUUUGUGCGGGGGUAAAGUGGUCCACGCGUGGUCAUUGCAAGUACCGUACGAAUAAGCAUCGGCUAACUCCGUGCCAGCAGCCGCGGUAAUACGGAGGAUGCGAGCGUUAUCCGGAUUUAUUGGGUUUAAAGGGAGCGUAGGCGGGCGAUUAAGUCAGCGGUUAAAUAGUGUGGCUCAACCAUGCCUUGCCGUUGAUACUGGUUGUCUUGAGAGUACUAGAGGUGGAUGGAAUUUAGGGUGUAGCGGUGAAAUGCUUAGAUAUCCUAAAGAACUCCGAUUGCGAAGGCAGUCCACUGGGGUACGUCUGACACUGAAGCUCGAAAGUGCGGGUAUCAAACAGGAUUAGAUACCCUGGUA